This 2193-nucleotide small RNA is filed under the name Rattus norvegicus (Norway rat). RNAcentral describes it as "uncharacterized LOC102549869". The record is from RNAcentral. Lineage: Eukaryota; Metazoa; Chordata; Mammalia; Rodentia; Muridae.
CUUCAAUAAACGGCUCAUGUUAUGAUUAGAACGUUGACACCAAUGGAAACUGGGUGACUGGAUGCUAAUUGUCUUUUUAAAGAGGUAGGGAUGUUUUGAGACAUGUCCUCAAAUGGGUUAUGUAGCUGAGGAUGGUCUUCAAGUCUGGAUCCUCCUGUCUCUACCUCCAAGUGUCAAGAUUACAGCCCUGCACCACCGCCAAGUGUCUAAGCAUCUAAAGGUACCACACAAUGGAUGGCAAGCUGGGUCCAGCUGAGGAAAGGCCCGGUAUAGAGCCUUUUCUCAACUGCUCUUAAAGAAUCCCUCAGGGAUCCCUGUGAAAGAUGGACUGAUAUUUUAAGAAUGAAAUUGAAAGCAAACACCAGUGAACUAAAUGCAGUGUGCUGCUAGAUUACAUCCUUAAAAGAGAAAAUGGCCCAGAGAAGGCAAUUGCCAUGCAGCAAAAGUUUCUCAAUGCUUUGGAAAAGAGUUCCAGCCCACUGGCCUUUCAGCCACCAACGAGCUCUGCAUGACGGAAAUGACUCACACAAGGAAAAUGAGCGGUGUUCCAGGUGGCUGUCUCCAGACUCUGCAGGCACCUAUUGCUGUUGGAAAGAUACUUUGACGAAGAAGGGCCUCUUGGAAAAACCAGAAAUAAACCAGCACUUGCUCCAGGAGUUCUCUCCCCAAGAAGAAAUUCUAGUCUGAGGCCAGGGUUAAGACAUCAUCAUAUCCGGUAGCUGCCUUGCCCAUGUGAUAGGUGAUCAAGCCCCAGGACAUGGAGAUGCCAUUAUGGGUGCUCUUUCUAAUUUUCAGCUUGGUUUAACUUGAAAACAAUGAUAAUCACUUCCAAGUCAAUAAAAUUAAUUCUACAUAAAACAUGUACUGAAUAGAAAAAGACAAAAUGUAAAAGUUAAUCGUGGGUGUAUCUAUAGGAUCCCAAGCAACAAGAAGCCUAAAGCUUGAAAGGGUUAGGUAGUUUCUUGGCCCUAGGUCAGACCUGCUUGGACUACUGGGCUCUAGAUGUUUGAGAUGGUAGGGUUAGUGUUUUCUUUUGUUGUCUCCUUUCUCUAAAAGGUCUCAUGUCACUCAGACUGUUUGUAAACUGUAUCCAUAGCCAAAGAUAACCUAGACUUCCAAUGUCUAUGUUCCAAGUGCUAGCAGCAUAGGCAUACACCACCAUACCAGCUUUGUUUUUUUCUUACUAUCUAUCAAAAAUAGUUGCGAAAAUAACAUAUCUAUUUGGGGGGCCUGCUUGUCUUUGUAAAAUCAUUUACACCUAGACAGCAUGGAGUUAUUCCUGUUAUAAAUAUCCCAUACCAGCUUCUCAACAUGGAGCCUAGUGUAGUGACUGGAUUAAAACUGGGACUCUGAUAUCAGAUGACCUAUAUUCAAAGUUUGGCUAUGUGAUCUAUAUCAUGUCUCUUAGUACUUUUACUUUAGUACCUACAGCCUGGAUAUAACAAUUCAUCUCUGAGAAGUGGGCUAUGGGAAUUAAACCAUUUACUAGGUCAAAAGUCAUCGGGAGAGUUCCUGACUCAUACUAAGUGCUAGUAAAUGUUGGCUGAAAAGACCUUACUUGGGGCUAGGGAGAGGGUUCAUAAAGCUAAUGCCCCCGAAGUAGGAUGGCCAGAGUUCAUAUCCCCAGCAGACCUACAAAUGGCAGGUGGAUGCGGCAGCCCACCUGUAAUCUUAGAACUCAGGAGGCUGAGACAGGGGAUCACUGGAGCAAGCUGGAUUGCAAGAUGAGCCCGACUGGCAAGCUCUGGGUUCAAGUGAAAUAUUCUGUCCUUAUGCAUAAGAUAAAGACUGAUCAAGGAAGACAUUAACACCAACCUCGUUCAAUGUGUAUCCUAGCUAAAGAAUCCAAAAUGUAAGGAAGCCAGUUGUUGGGGGUUUUUUGUUUUUGUUUUUUGGGGUUUUUUGUUUUUUGUUUUUUGUUUGCUUGUUUCUUUCUUUCUUUGUUUGUUUUAAGUAGUCCAUAAGCCUUUUCCUAUGGAGAAAUAUUACCUUUACAGUGGUCAGCCAGGUUUGGUAGACUGGCAAAUCAUUGCUUUGGAAAAGGGACCUCCCAUUCCCUCUAAAGCUGUCCAGGAUACAAACAUCCUUGAGAAGCCAGUGGGGAAGACAUACAUGGUGAACAGUGGUUGCUCGUCAAUAUAUGCAUCACUCUGAUGUAUCUUGUACCCCAAUAAAAGAUGAUUGAAAGUGCUA